RNAcentral lists this ribosomal RNA (498 nucleotides) under uncultured bacterium. RNAcentral describes it as "partial 16S ribosomal RNA". It matches the Rfam family "Bacterial small subunit ribosomal RNA", at positions 30 to 523 of the family's 1533-position model. The record is from RNAcentral.
AUUGAACGCUGGCGGCAUGCCUUACACAUGCAAGUCGAACGGUAACAGGUCUUCGGAUGCUGACGAGUGGCGAACGGGUGAGUAAUACAUCGGAACGUGCCUAGUAGUGGGGGAUAACUACUCGAAAGAGUGGCUAAUACCGCAUGAGAUCUACGGAUGAAAGCAGGGGAUCGCAAGACCUUGUGCUACUAGAGCGGCCGAUGGCAGAUUAGGUAGUUGGUGGGAUAAAAGCUUACCAGGCAGACGAUCUGUAGCUGGUCUGAGAGCACGAUCAGCCACACGGGGACUGGGACACGGCCCAGACUCCUACGGGAGGCAGCAGUGGGGAAUUUUGGACAAUGGGCGCAAGCCUGAUCCAGCAAUGCCGCGUGCAGGAUGAAGGCCUUCGGGUUGUAAACUGCUUUUGUACGGAACGAAAAGCCCCGGGUUAAUACCCUGGGGUCAUGACGGUACCGUAAGAAUAAGCACCGGCUAACUACGUGCCAGCCGCCGCCGUAA